GUGUUUUUCUGCACCUUACAAGACUGUUUUUUUUUCUGUUGUUGUUUUGUAUUUCAGUGUUCCAUUAUUUAAAUCAUGAACCCGUACCACGCUGCACUUUGGUCCACACCUUCUUCCACCUACGAAAGCCAUUACAAUGUUUGAGAAGCUGGUCUCCAGCAGACUGUCGCCAACCUGUAGAGAGGCCAUGCCAAAGUCUGCUACCCUGAUGUUGUUCUUCUCAUCUAACAACAGGUUCUCUGGCUUCAAAUCUCUGUGGCUGGGAGGGAGAGAGGGGACGAAGGACAGGGAGGGAGACAGAGUGAGAGAAAGCAAAUGGACCUGAGCCCUAGGACCAUGCCCCAGGACUACCUGACAUGAUGACUCCUUGCUGUCCCCAGUCCACCUGGCCAUGCUGCUGCUCCAGUUUCAACUGGCCUGGGCCCUAGGACCAUGUCCCAGGACUACCUGACAUGAUGACUCCUUGCUGUCCCCAGUCCACCUGGCCAUGCUGCUGCUCCAGUUUCAACUGUUCUGCCUUACUAUUAUUCAACCAUGCUGGUCAUUUAUGAACAUUUGAACAUCUUGGCCACGUUCUGUUAUAAUCUCCACCCGGCACAGCCAGAAGAGGACUGGCCACCCCACAUAUGCUCUCUCUAAUUCUCUCUUUCUUUCUCUCUCUCGGAGGACCUGAGCCCUAGGACCGUGCCCCAGGACUACCUGACAUGAUGACUCCUUGCUGUCCCCAGUCCACCUGACUGUGCUGCUGCUCCAGUUUCAACUGUUCUGCCUUAUUAUUAUUCGACCAUGCUGGUCAUUUAUGAACAUUUGAACAUCUUGGUCAUGUUCUGUUAUAAUCUCUACCCGGCACAGCCAGAAGAGGACUGGCCACCCCACAUAGCCUGGUUCCUCUCUAGGUUUCUUCCUAGGUUUUGGCCUUUCUAGGGAGUUUUUCCUAGCCACCGUGCUUUUACACCUGCAUUGUUUGCUGUUUGGGGUUUUAGGCUGGGUUUCUGUACAGCACUUUGAGAUAUCAGCUGAUGUACGAAGGGCUAUAUAAAUAAAUUUGAUUUGA
Molecule: long non-coding RNA, 1054 nt
Organism: Oncorhynchus nerka (sockeye salmon)
Lineage: Eukaryota; Metazoa; Chordata; Actinopteri; Salmoniformes; Salmonidae
Exons: 3
Source: RefSeq, a predicted model, not a curated record